Molecule: ribosomal RNA, 253 nt
Filed under: uncultured bacterium
Lineage: Bacteria
Description: partial 16S ribosomal RNA
Rfam family: Bacterial small subunit ribosomal RNA
Source: RNAcentral
UACGAAGGGGGCUAGCGUUGUUCGGAAUUACUGGGCGUAAAGCGCACGUAGGCGGAUAUUUAAGUCAGGGGUGAAAUCCCGGGGCUCAACCCCGGAACUGCCUUUGAUACUGGGUAUCUCGAGUCCGAGAGAGGUGAGUGGAAUUCCGAGUGUAGAGGUGAAAUCCGUAGAUAUUCGGAGGAACACCAGUGGCGAAGGCGGCUCACUGGCUCGGUACUGACGCUGAGGUGCGAAAGCGUGGGGAGCGAACAGG